UACAGAGGUGGCAAGCGUUGUUCGGAUUUACUGGGCGUAAAGGGUCCGUAGGCGGUUUGGAAAGUUGAAUGUGAAAUCCCACAGCUUAACUGUGGAACUGCAUUCAAAACUUCCAGACUAGAGUAUGAGAGGGGUUAAGGGAAUUCCCGGUGUAAGGGUGAAAUCUGCAGAGAUCGGGAGGAACACCAGUCGCGAAGGCGCUUAACUGGCUCAUUACUGACGCUCAGGGACGAAAGCUAGGGUAGCAAACGGG
This 253-nucleotide ribosomal RNA is filed under the name uncultured bacterium. RNAcentral's name for it is "partial 16S ribosomal RNA". It matches the Rfam family "Bacterial small subunit ribosomal RNA", at positions 524 to 776 of the family's 1533-position model. The record is from RNAcentral.